This 1712-nucleotide long non-coding RNA is filed under the name Sphaeramia orbicularis (orbiculate cardinalfish). Its description in RNAcentral is "lncRNA (ENSSORG00005017164.1)". The record is from RNAcentral. Lineage: Eukaryota; Metazoa; Chordata; Actinopteri; Kurtiformes; Apogonidae.
AUGACACCAUUAGACACUGGAGGAGCUCAUGACUGGCCUGGGGCCAAUUCUCUGAUGCCAGUAACGGCGGUUUAUGCUCCUCCUGUGUCCAUAGUGGCCGGGAGCCAAGACUUCAGUUAUCAUAACACAGAUAGUGCUGAAGUCAAAGCUGCCUCGCCACAUUGUCCUGUGGGUAAUUCGACAUCAGCUGCAGAGGGGGUUGUGCCAUUCUCUGGAGUAGGCACAAGGGGGGGUCAGAUGCUGGAGGACGACAUCAGCCACCGAACGCACCACAGCAUCCAGCGAGGUUCAGCUGUAGAGUCUGAGGUCUCCGAGCAGACCAGCGAUGCUCCUAAAGAGAGCACCAAGACGGGAUGGUUUAGUGGUUGGUUUAAAUCAAAGCCCAAGGAAGCCCAGGAGACUUCAGAGCAGAUCAGACCUGCUAAAACAAUUCCACCUGCUGCUGACCUCUGCCCUCCUCCCCCGCCGACCAUCGCACCCUCUGGCAUGUUUCCAUCCCAGCCCUCCUCCGCUGGAAUCAAUCCCUUCUCAAGAAAAGCAGGCCAGCAACUGGGAUAGACACCAUUUCAACACCACUAGACUAUAUUACAGGAUCGCUGGCACCACUAAAGUCCAAAAUGGGACGUCGCACCACCUGUCAUGAACACAACCUACACUGCGUGUCUUAUUAGAAUUCACCUGAGCUCACAUGAACUCCAGUAUGAUCUGUACCUCUCACCACUGCCCACUUUUCUUUUUUAAGAUCGCCCUUUCAAACCCCUCCACAGCUUACCCGCCAUCAUGUUGCAUGUUAGCUACAGAAAUACACUGGAUGGACAGGCGAAGUAACUCGUAUUGCAUCGACUAAAACAGCUGAGGUAUGCUUCCUGUAAGCUGACUGCAGGGAAAUUACAAGUGGAUGCAGGACAUAUCUGGGGAUGGGGAUAUCCUAAUUGACCCCAAUAUAAUAUAAUAUUUAUAUAGGACAGAGUGACCUGAUUGACCCCAUCAAUGCCCAAAACACAGAUUCAUACUAGUGAGGUAGAAAAAGUUUGACAUGAGCGAAUCAUUACACUUUUACACCUCAGAUCACUUCUAAAUGUGUGAUAUACUGCCAGAUAAUAUUGAUCGGCUUUGUAUUUAUAUUUGCAAAGGGUAAACCUCUCAUCUUUUCAUGAUAAAGCACACUGAAACACAAGUGAUCAAAAAUACUAAGCACCCCACGCUAUGCUAGCUUAUUCACCUCAAUGUGGGGUACUUGUUGCAUUAUACAACAGUACAGCGUGUGCCAUGUUGUCACACUGCCAAGAUGGAUCAUCGUACAUGGGGGGGGGUUGGGAUACACUUGCUCAGGCAAACAGCCAACAACCUCCCUAACCCCCCACCCUCAACAAGCAGACUUUUAUAUCACCAAACUGUUUAUGUGCUGAUGAUAUUUGCAAUGCUUUCAUCUAAAAAAGUUUAAUUAAUGGCCCUUUAUAUAAAUAUUUGGUUGCAGAUGAAGCUAAGCUAUGCUCUUAAAGUUGUAUGCAGUUUUAAGUUGUAUUAUCUACUUUUACAUUAAAUGUAUAGUAAGGAUUUUAAGAUGCUGUAUUAACUUGUGCCAAAUUUUUUUAUGAUAAUUGAGUUUGUGCCUCAAUUUUUCACGUUUUCAUUUCAAUUUUGCUGUUUUUUUGUAUAUCUGUACCAGCACAUAAAGUAUAACAAUCUCUAAAAAGCCGCAGUAUUUUGUC